RNAcentral lists this ribosomal RNA (446 nucleotides) under uncultured bacterium. RNAcentral describes it as "partial 16S ribosomal RNA". It matches the Rfam family "Bacterial small subunit ribosomal RNA", at positions 338 to 795 of the family's 1533-position model. The record is from RNAcentral.
CCUACGGGGGACAGCAGUCGAGAAUCAUUCACAAUGGGGGAAACCCUGAUGGUGCGACGCCGCGUGGGGGAAUGAAGGUCUUCGGAUUGUAAACCCCUGUCAUGUGGGAGCAAAUUAAAAAGAUAGUACCACAAGAGGAAGAGACGGCUAACUCUGUGCCAGCAGCCGCGGUAAUACAGAGGUCUCAAGCGUUGUUCGGAAUCACUGGGCGUAAAGCGUGCGUAGGCUGUUUCGUAAGUCGUGUGUGAAAGGCGCGGGCUCAACCCGCGGACGGCACAUGAUACUGCGGGACUAGAGUGAGGGAGGGGGAACCGGAAUUCUCGGUGUAGCAGUGAAAUGCGUAGAUAUCGAGAGGAACACUCGUGGCGAAGGCGGGUUCCUGGACAUUAACUGACGCUGAGGCACGAAGGCCAGGGGAGCGAAAGGGAUUAGAUACCCGUGUAGUC